GAUUAAAUAGUUUAUACAAAACAAUAGCCUGUAAAGUUAGAGAAAAUUAUAAUUUUUUAAUCA
RNAcentral lists this transfer RNA (63 nucleotides) under Grandidierella taihuensis. RNAcentral's name for it is "tRNA-Tyr". Lineage: Eukaryota; Metazoa; Arthropoda; Malacostraca; Amphipoda; Corophiidae. The record is from RNAcentral.